Molecule: non-coding RNA, 105 nt
Organism: Acanthosepion pharaonis
Lineage: Eukaryota; Metazoa; Mollusca; Cephalopoda; Sepiida; Sepiidae
Source: the annotation of a GenBank genome assembly
AUCGCGUCGAAAUACCGCUUCUCGUCAAAAAUACCGAAGUUAAGCAGCUUUGAGCUUGGUCAGUACCUAGAUGGGUGACCGCUUGAGAAUACCAGGUGCUGUAAG